This 207-nucleotide unclassified non-coding RNA is filed under the name Hevea brasiliensis (rubber tree). Lineage: Eukaryota; Viridiplantae; Streptophyta; Magnoliopsida; Malpighiales; Euphorbiaceae. The record is from RNAcentral.
UGCCCCCACCUGCUGAGCUGGGAUAAUAUAUCAUGAUACUAUGAUCAUCCCCAUCAAUAGGCUUCUCCACAAAUGGCUUCCAAAAACGAUUGCCAUGAACCUCAACAAAAUCUUCUUCCUCAAUAAAAUAAUCCAGUUCUUGAUAUGGAAAUUCUCUAUUAACAAGGGCAUAUCUUGGAACAGGGAUUCCGUAAACUUCAAGAUGCU